AAGUCGAGCGAACAGACGAGGAGCUUGCUCCUCUGACGUUAGCGGCGGACGGGUGAGUAACACGUGGAUAACCUACCUAUAAGACUGGGAUAACUUCGGGAAACCGGAGCUAAUACCGGAUAAUAUAUUGAACCGCAUGGUUCAAUAGUGAAAGACGGUUUUGCUGUCACUUAUAGAUGGAUCCGCGCCGCAUUAGCUAGUUGGUAAGGUAACGGCUUACCAAGGCAACGAUGCGUAGCCGACCUGAGAGGGUGAUCGGCCACACUGGAACUGAGACACGGUCCAGACUCCUACGGGAGGCAGCAGUAGGGAAUCUUCCGCAAUGGGCGAAAGCCUGACGGAGCAACGCCGCGUGAGUGAUGAAGGUCUUCGGAUCGUAAAACUCUGUUAUUAGGGAAGAACAAAUGUGUAAGUAACUAUGCACGUCUUGACGGUACCUAAUCAGAAAGCCACGGCUAACUACGUGCCAGCAGCCGCGGUAAUACGUAGGUGGCAAGCGUUAUCCGGAAUUAUUGGGCGUAAAGCGCGCGUAGGCGGUUUUUUAAGUCUGAUGUGAAAGCCCACGGCUCAACCGUGGAGGGUCAUUGGAAACUGGAAAACUUGAGUGCAGAAGAGGAAAGUGGAAUUCCAUGUGUAGCGGUGAAAUGCGCAGAGAUAUGGAGGAACACCAGUGGCGAAGGCGACUUUCGGUCUGUAACUGACGCUG
This 706-nucleotide ribosomal RNA is filed under the name Staphylococcus epidermidis. Its description in RNAcentral is "bacterial SSU rRNA". It matches the Rfam family "Bacterial small subunit ribosomal RNA", at positions 59 to 748 of the family's 1533-position model. The record is from RNAcentral. Lineage: Bacteria; Bacillati; Bacillota; Bacilli; Caryophanales; Staphylococcaceae.